RNAcentral lists this non-coding RNA (29 nucleotides) under Rattus norvegicus (Norway rat). The record is from RNAcentral. Lineage: Eukaryota; Metazoa; Chordata; Mammalia; Rodentia; Muridae.
UCCAAAACCCUUGGAAACGUGACGCGAGC